Non-coding RNA from Rattus norvegicus (Norway rat), 719 nucleotides. The record is from RefSeq and is a predicted model, not a curated record. NCBI's taxonomy places the organism in Eukaryota, Metazoa, Chordata, Mammalia, Rodentia, Muridae.
UGUCACAAUUGUGCAGUGAGGACCUUGACCUGCUGAGUCAACUCCAUGGCCCAAGAGCCUUCAUUUUAUACAAAAAUGCACAUCAACCAGUCCUUGGCAUAUGGUAGCUCUUUUAACAUAGAUCUGAGAGAAUACUGAAAACCAGGAAAUGUAAAAUAUUAAUACUGACUUAGCUAUAGGAGUAAGCAAAGUCCCUCUACUCCCUCCCUGAGACUCCUGCUAUGAGACCUGGCUAACCUGGAUCAAUGUAUACACCAGGCUAGCCUCUAACUCAUGACUCUCCUGCCUCUACUACCUGCUGAGAUGACAAAACUGCGCACCUCCUCCUGGCCAUGUCAUCUUACGUCUACAUCUGCAGAGAGAUGCGUUCCUUUUACACUGUGAGAGUACGUCAGACAUAUUGAUCUGCAAACUUUCCAGGAAAAGGCUUUCAUAUGUCCGUAACUGUUUAACAGUAACAAGACCAAAACAACAACAGCAAAGACUAAAGCAAUUAACAUCCUCUGCGCGCCAGCUAAGAAUAUUACCGGACUUUGUGGCUGUGGUCUGUCCUCCCUAUUCUGGACACUGAGUUCUACUGUUUCCUGGCAUCUAAUGUUGCUGAGAAUUAAGCAUGAGUGAGAAAAAUGUGGCUAGCUAUCUUCAAGUCUUUUGGUUUUAGUACUUGGAGCUAAGGUUUAAUUUAUUUUUCUUAAAAGUCAUAAUAAUAGUAAUAAUAA